UGGAUUUUGGUUAAGAGGGCCCCCCCCGCCGUUUGGACUGUACUGCGUUGUCUUGACUUCCUGAUGAGGACAUGCUCUUGGUUAACGCUGAGACAUGGAGUCAUCGUGGUUACUUUGAAAAAAUUAGAGUGUUCAAAGCGGGCUUACGCUUGAAUAUAUUAGCAUGGAAUAACACUAUAGGACUCCUGUCCUAUCUCGUUGGUCUCGGGAUGGGAGUAAUGAUUAAGAGGAACAGUUGGGGGCAUUCGUAUUUCAUUGUCAGAGGUGAAAUUCUUGGAUUUAUGAAAGACGAACUUCUGCGAAAGCAUUUGCCAAGGAUGUUUUCAUUAAUCAAGAACGAAAGUUGGGGGCUCGAAGAUGAUUAGAUACCAUCCUAGUCUCAACCAUAAACGAUGCCGACUAGGGAUUGGUGGAUGUUAAUUGAUGACUUCACCAGCACCUUAUGAGAAAUCAAAGUUUUUGGGUUCCGGGGGGAGUAUGGUCGCAAGGCUGAAACUUAAAGGAAUUGACGGAAGGGCACCACCAGGCGUGGGAGCCUGCGGCUUAAUUUGACUCAACACGGGGGAAACUUACCAGGUCCAGACAUAAGUAUGAUUGACAGAUUGAGAGCUCUUUCUUGAUUUUAUGGGG
This 630-nucleotide ribosomal RNA is filed under the name Bathycoccus prasinos. Its description in RNAcentral is "SSU rRNA". It matches the Rfam family "Eukaryotic small subunit ribosomal RNA", at positions 635 to 1275 of the family's 1831-position model. Lineage: Eukaryota; Viridiplantae; Chlorophyta; Mamiellophyceae; Mamiellales; Bathycoccaceae. The record is from RNAcentral.